This 253-nucleotide ribosomal RNA is filed under the name uncultured bacterium. RNAcentral describes it as "partial 16S ribosomal RNA". It matches the Rfam family "Bacterial small subunit ribosomal RNA", at positions 524 to 776 of the family's 1533-position model. The record is from RNAcentral.
UACGAACUGUGCGAACGUUAUUCGGAAUCACUGGGCUUACAGGGUGCGUAGGCGGCUCAACAAGUCAGGCGUGAAAGCCCCCGGCUCAACCGGGGAACUGCGCUUGAAACUGUUAGGCUCGAGUCAGCUAGAGGUACACGGAACUUCCAGUGGAGCGGUGAAAUGUGUUGAUAUUGGAAGGAACACCGGAGGCGAAAGCGGUGUACUGGGGCUGGUCUGACGCUGAGGCACGAAAGCCAGGGGAGCGAACGGG